Molecule: ribosomal RNA, 305 nt
Filed under: uncultured bacterium
Lineage: Bacteria
Description: partial 16S ribosomal RNA
Rfam family: Bacterial small subunit ribosomal RNA
Source: RNAcentral
ACAGCAGCAGCCACGGGAAUACAGAGGGUGCGAGCGUUAAUCGGAUUUACUGGGCGUAAAGCGUGCGUAGGCGGCUUUUUAAGUCGGAUGUGAAAUCCCUGAGCUUAACUUAGGAAUUGCAUUCGAUACUGGGAAGCUAGAGUAUGGGAGAGGAUGGUAGAAUUCCAGGUGUAGCGGUGAAAUGCGUAGAGAUCUGGAGGAAUACCGAUGGCGAAGGCAGCCAUCUGGCCUAAUACUGACGCUGAGGUACGAAAGCAUGGGGAGCAAACAGGAUUAGAUACCCGGGUAGUCCCUGUCUCUUAUAC